Molecule: ribosomal RNA, 252 nt
Filed under: uncultured bacterium
Lineage: Bacteria
Description: partial 16S ribosomal RNA
Rfam family: Bacterial small subunit ribosomal RNA
Source: RNAcentral
UACGUAGGUGGCAAGCGUUGUCCGGAAUUAUUGGGCGUAAAGCGCGCGCAGGCGGCCUCUUAAGUCUGAUGUGAAAGCCCCCGGCUCAACCGGGGAGGGCCAUUGGAAACUGGGAGGCUUGAGUAUAGGAGAGAAGAGUGGAAUUCCACGUGUAGCGGUGAAAUGCGUAGAGAUGUGGAGGAACACCAGUGGCGAAGGCGACUCUUUGGCCUAUAACUGACGCUGAGGCGCGAAAGCGUGGGGAGCAAACAG